This is a small nuclear RNA of Oryctolagus cuniculus (rabbit), 107 nucleotides long. The record is from Ensembl. Lineage: Eukaryota; Metazoa; Chordata; Mammalia; Lagomorpha; Leporidae.
GUGCUUGCUUUGGCAGCACGUAUACUAAAAUUGGAAUGAUGUAGAUAAGAUUAGCAUGGCCUCUGCACGAGGAUGAUAUGCAGAUUUAUGGAAUGUUCUAUAUAUUU